UCCUCUGACGUUAGCGGCGGACGGGUGAGUAACACGUGGAUAACCUACCUAUAAGACUGGGAUAACUUCGGGAAACCGGAGCUAAUACCGGAUAAUAUAUUGAACCGCAUGGUUCAAUAGUGAAAGACGGUUUUGCUGUCACUUAUAGAUGGAUCCGCGCCGCAUUAGCUAGUUGGUAAGGUAACGGCUUACCAAGGCAACGAUGCGUAGCCGACCUGAGAGGGUGAUCGGCCACACUGGAACUGAGACACGGUCCAGACUCCUACGGGAGGCAGCAGUAGGGAAUCUUCCGCAAUGGGCGAAAGCCUGACGGAGCAACGCCGCGUGAGUGAUGAAGGUCUUCGGAUCGUAAAACUCUGUUAUUAGGGAAGAACAAAUGUGUAAGUAACUAUGCACGUCUUGACGGUACCUAAUCAGAAAGCCACGGCUAACUACGUGCCAGCAGCCGCGGUAAUACGUAGGUGGCAAGCGUUAUCCGGAAUUAUUGGGCGUAAAGCGCGCGUAGGCGGUUUUUUAAGUCUGAUGUGAAAGCCCACGGCUCAACCGUGGAGGGUCAUUGGAAACUGGAAAACUUGAGUGCAGAAGAGGAAAGUGGAAUUCCAUGUGUAGCGGUGAAAUGCGCAGAGAUAUGGAGGAACACCAGUGGC
This 647-nucleotide ribosomal RNA is filed under the name Staphylococcus epidermidis. RNAcentral's name for it is "bacterial SSU rRNA". It matches the Rfam family "Bacterial small subunit ribosomal RNA", at positions 82 to 716 of the family's 1533-position model. Lineage: Bacteria; Bacillati; Bacillota; Bacilli; Caryophanales; Staphylococcaceae. The record is from RNAcentral.